GAGACUCUGCGGUCUAGGCGGUAGGCAUGCAGUCUAAGGAUUUCUAUUUUUAACUUACUUAUGCCCAAGUUUUCAUAGUGAUGGCAACGCAAGGGAAUUGGAUCACGUCCACCGUUGCCGGUGGGUUCUCCGCUCGUCGGUUUUUACUAUUUGAUACUCAAGCUAUUAUUUUUAUCUUAUUUAAUUUAUUUCAAAUGAUAGUUCAUUUAAUCCGAUUUAUGAUGUAAGACUAAUCUAUUCAAUCAGAGGUGAUAGUUGUCUACGCGGCUUGAGUAAGGCUGGCUUCAUUGGGUAUCGUGUUUGAAC
This 306-nucleotide long non-coding RNA is filed under the name Gossypium barbadense (sea-island cotton). RNAcentral describes it as "long non-coding RNA (GBAR_LNC003585)". Lineage: Eukaryota; Viridiplantae; Streptophyta; Magnoliopsida; Malvales; Malvaceae. The record is from RNAcentral.